CAAUGGGGGAACCCUGNAUGCAGCGACGCCGCGUGGAGGAAGAAGGUCUUCCGAUUGUAAACUCCUGUUGUUGAGGAAGAUAAUGACGGUACUCAACAAGGAAGUGACGGCUAACUACGUGCCAGCAGCCGCGGUAAAACGUAGGUCACAAGCGUUGUCCGGAAUUACUGGGUGUAAAGGGAGCGCAGGCGGGAGAACAAGUUGGAAGUGAAAUCCAUGGGCUCAACCCAUGAACUGCUUUCAAAACUGUUUUUCUUGAGUAGUGCAGAGGUAGGCGGAAUUCCCGGUGUAGCGGUGGAAUGCGUAGAUAUCGGGAGGAACACCAGUGGCGAAGGCGGCCUACUGGGCACCAACUGACGCUGAGGCUCGAAAGUGUGGGUAGCAAACAGGAUUAGAUACCCUGGUAGUCCAAGGGCGAAUUC
RNAcentral lists this ribosomal RNA (422 nucleotides) under uncultured bacterium. RNAcentral describes it as "SSU rRNA". It matches the Rfam family "Bacterial small subunit ribosomal RNA", at positions 369 to 808 of the family's 1533-position model. The record is from RNAcentral.